UACGUAGGUCCCGAGCGUUGUCCGGAUUUAUUGGGCGUAAAGCGAGCGCAGGUGGUUUAUUAAGUCUGGUGUAAAAGGCAGUGGCUCAACCAUUGUAUGCAUUGGAAACUGGUAGACUUGAGUGCAGGAGAGGAGAGUGGAAUUCCGUGUGUAGCGGUGAAAUGCGUAGAUAUUAGGAGGAACACCAGUGGCGAAGGCGGCUUACUGGACAGUAACUGACGUUGAGGCUCGAAAGCGUGGGGAGCAAACAGG
Molecule: ribosomal RNA, 252 nt
Filed under: uncultured bacterium
Lineage: Bacteria
Description: partial 16S ribosomal RNA
Rfam family: Bacterial small subunit ribosomal RNA
Source: RNAcentral